Molecule: transfer RNA, 72 nt
Filed under: Sus scrofa (pig)
Lineage: Eukaryota; Metazoa; Chordata; Mammalia; Artiodactyla; Suidae
Rfam family: tRNA
About the family: Transfer RNA (tRNA) molecules are approximately 80 nucleotides in length. Their secondary structure includes four short double-helical elements and three loops (D, anti-codon, and T loops).
Source: Rfam by way of RNAcentral
UCCCUGGUGGUCUAGUGGCUAGGAUUCAGUGCUUUCACUGCUGUGGCCUGGGUUCAAUCCCUGGUCUGGGAA